UGCAGGGGGCGGGCGGGGCGGGGCUCUGCUUGGGGGUGUGGCCUGGGCAGGGGGCGGGUUUGAGGGUUUUAAGCCAGGCUUUUCCGGGUUUUUACCUUUGCUUCCCCCAUCCGGGAGUCCGGUGCCGCUGAGCUCCUGCACAGUUCGUCCUGCCCCGGAGGAGGUGCCAGGAAAGAGAGCCCGAACCCCCUGACGCCAGACCCCUUUUCCCUUCCAGCUCGGCCUUCUGGGACCCCCGGCCAGGGAGCAGGGAGCAUGGAGGAGUGUGUAGAGGACGCUGCGCUGGAGCCCUGCAGGUGGCCCCCCCAGGUAAGCAGCAUCGACCUCUCCUGACAAGGAUCCUCAGGCCCCAGGUGUAGACACUCCUCUCUCUCCUAAUAUGGAGGUUCAGGCCCCAGGUGUAGAUGCUCCUCUGUCUCAUGACAUGGAGGCUCAGGCCCCAGGUGUAGACACUCCUCUCUCCUGACAUGGAUGCUCAGGCUCCAGGGGUAGACACUCCUCUCUCUCCUAACAUGGAGGUUCAGGCCCCAGGUGUAGAUGCUCCUCUGUCUCCUGACAUGGAGGCUCAGGCCCCCAGUGU
Molecule: long non-coding RNA, 580 nt
Filed under: Monodelphis domestica (gray short-tailed opossum)
Lineage: Eukaryota; Metazoa; Chordata; Mammalia; Didelphimorphia; Didelphidae
Description: lncRNA (ENSMODG00000051424.1)
Source: RNAcentral